CCUACGGGUGGCAGCAGUGGGGGAUAUUGCACAAUGGGGGGAACCCUGAUGCAGCGACGCCGCGUGGGUGAAGAAGCGCCUCGGCGCGUAAAGCCCUGUCAGCAGGGAAGAAAAUGACGGUACCUGACGAAGAAGCCCCGGCUAACUACGUGCCAGCAGCCGCGGUAAUACGUAGGGGGCAAGCGUUAUCCGGAUUUACUGGGUGUAAAGGGGGCGUAGACGGCGGUGCAAGUCUGGAGUGAAAGCCCGGGGCGCAACCCCGGGACUGCUCUUGAAACUGCGUGGCUGGAGUGCAGGAGGGGCAGGCGGAAUUCCUGGUGUAGCGGUGAAAUGCGUAGAUAUCAGGAGGAACACCGGUGGCGAAGGCGGCCUGCUGGACUGCAACUGACGUUGAGGCCCGAAAGCGUGGGGAGCAAACAGGAUUAGAUACCCUUGUAGUC
RNAcentral lists this ribosomal RNA (440 nucleotides) under uncultured bacterium. RNAcentral describes it as "partial 16S ribosomal RNA". It matches the Rfam family "Bacterial small subunit ribosomal RNA", at positions 338 to 795 of the family's 1533-position model. The record is from RNAcentral.